Molecule: ribosomal RNA, 253 nt
Filed under: uncultured bacterium
Lineage: Bacteria
Description: partial 16S ribosomal RNA
Rfam family: Bacterial small subunit ribosomal RNA
Source: RNAcentral
UACGGAGGGUGCAAGCGUUAUCCGGAUUCACUGGGUUUAAAGGGUGCGUAGGCGGGUUGGUAAGUCCGUGGUGAAAUCCCCAAGCUUAACUUGGGAACUGCCGUGGAUACUAUCAAUCUUGAAUAUCGUGGAGGUAAGCGGAAUAUGUCAUGUAGCGGUGAAAUGCUUAGAUAUGACAUAGAACACCCAUUGCGAAGGCAGCUUACUACACGAUCAUUGACGCUGAGGCACGAAAGCGUGGGGAGCAAACAGG